This 533-nucleotide long non-coding RNA is filed under the name Olea europaea (common olive). Its description in RNAcentral is "long non-coding RNA (OEUR_LNC000513)". Lineage: Eukaryota; Viridiplantae; Streptophyta; Magnoliopsida; Lamiales; Oleaceae. The record is from RNAcentral.
ACUAACACUCCCAUCCACACUUCACGCCACCACAUUUCCCCACCUCCAUGGGAAGAAAAACCAACUACACAAGCAAAUAAGUUACAAUCAGUGCAAGAAGCGUGUAGAAACAAAUGCCAUAGAGCUUCUUAUCUGGACUCAGACGCAACAUCGGUUCAAAGAUCACAUAACUCAAGCAGCUCCCAACCUCAUUCACUUUCAAGUUUCAACAUCAUCACACCACGGCAUUAUCAUACCACAGCAGCCACAGAGCAUCAUACCAUUUUGGAGCAAUCCCAAUAUUGUGUUGUAAUUGAUGAAUCCCCAAAAGCACCUUCUUGGAUUGUCAUCGAUCCACGACGUCUUCAAAUUCGAUAGCUCUCUAGAAUAACACAAAACCACUCAUUUUCGACUAUUGCUAACCAAGGACGAUGGAGUCGCCAUAUUUACGAAUGGAAGAAGGUCGAAGCACACACCUAGGUUGUACGUCUGCGUUUGACGAUGAACGAUUUUCCUUGGACCUUCAUUUGGGAAUGGAGUUGAGGUAUUUUGGG